CUCAACGGCAGCGUGAUGACGUAAUAGCACCGCAAGAUGUCGCUCUUUCCUAAGUUUAGAGUCAAAGUUUGAAGUUGUGUGUAAAGUCAGAGGGGAAGCUCUGCAUCACCUUAAAGGAGAUACUGUUCUCAUAUCAAAACCAACCAGCUACUUGUGGGAGUGAAGGUCCUGUAUUGAGUCUGCGGCAACAAAGACAUUCAUUCUGCCUGACACUGGAGACAUUGUCCUGGCUAGAGCCUAGAGUCUGCGUCCUGGGACAGAGCAAUGCCAGCCAGCAAACGAUGAUCCAUGCACCCUGGCAUAGUCUAGGAGCUGCCCGCGAGCGCAGAUGAAAUGCAGUUUAGACCGGGCUGAGUCGCACCAGAACCUGGGGCCGGGCCGCUUCUCCUCAGUCAGUGUCUGGACAUGGAAAACAGAACAUACCAGAGCAAUGGCGACGGAGCACGGACUCCAGCUCUGGUUACCACACUGACCAUACAACACUGGUCACCUGAAACCCAGCACCUACAGCCACCUACAACCAGUCAGCUUCAUUUGUCACUUUCACCACAUGGCUCAUGGUACACUCAACAAUAUAUCCUCAGUCUGAAGCAGUGGAAGGACAGACUCCUGUCUAUAUAGGUCAUGGUUUAAACUGAGGCCACCUCGUUCUACCAGGACUCUGUUCACUCCUGAAGACACCACAACCCAGACGCCUGAGGUGGGAGUCUGGUGUUUCAGCCACUGGACUGACGUCACCCAGUAAAACAUGCACACUUUUUCUUUAGCUCUGUGUUCGUUGGGCUCCAUCAUGUGGCUGCAUGCAGGCCAAUGUGAUGCUGGAGGACAAAGAAAACAACCUCAAAAAGCCCUAGAAAAAGAGCAGGCAGUGCUCCUCAAGUCAGCUGGUGCUGGUCCACAACAAUAUGACCAUGGGCAAGGCACCAAAUAUGUGAGUCUGAUUCCCAUCAGUGAAUAAUACUGACACAACAUGCUGACAGCAUUCCUGAGCUGCAAGAGAAGCUGACGCUCUUCAGCUGGAAUAAAAACUCAUGUUUACGCAGUUUAGAGUAAAAAAAAGAUGAUGAGAACUGGCUUUUUCCUGAAUGACGGGCGAUCUUGCAACAUGGAG
This is a long non-coding RNA of Thunnus maccoyii (southern bluefin tuna), 1111 nucleotides long. RefSeq lists it as uncharacterized. The record is from RefSeq and is a predicted model, not a curated record. The transcript has 7 exons. NCBI's taxonomy places the organism in Eukaryota, Metazoa, Chordata, Actinopteri, Scombriformes, Scombridae.